AUGCAACCUCAGAUCAGACGUGGUGACCCCCUGAAUUUAAGCAUACUACUGAGGGGAGGAAAAGAAACUAACAAGGAUUCCCUCAGUAGCAGCGAGCAAAGAGGGAAGAGCCCAGCACCGAAUCCCCGUCCGACCUGUGGGCGAGGGAAAUGUGGUGUACGGAAGACCGCAUUACUGCAGCGUCGGCCGGGGGCUCGAGUCCUUCUUAUCGAGGCACAUCCCACAGACAGUGUGAGGCCAGUGGCAGCCCCAGUUGCACAGCAGCACGGUCUUCCCGGAGUCGGGUUGCUUGGGAAUGCAGCCCAAAGUGGGUGGUAAACUCCAUCUAAGGCUAAAUACCAGCACGAGACCGAUAGUCAACAAGUACCAUAAGGGAAAGUUGAAAAGAACUUUGAAGAGAGAGUUCAAGAGGGCGUGAAACUGUUAAGAGGUAAACUGACAGGGUCCAUGCAGUCCACCCAGAGGAUUCAAGUCGGCGGGUUAAGACGGCCGGCCGUCCUGGGUCCCGUCGGUUCCCCUCCACCCUGGAGGGGACCAUGGCCCGGCCGGGCUCGGCUCCUGUCGGGCACAUUUCCUCCGGAGGUCAGUGCGCCGCGACCGGCUCUGGGUCGGCAUGGAAGAGCUUGGGGUCGGGAAGGUGGCCUGGCAGCGCCCUCACAGCACCUGCCCGGUGUUAUAGCCCCCCCCUCCGUUCAAACCUCGCCACUUCCCAAGGCCGUGGAAACGGACACCCCUCCCCGCCAACCCUCCCCCGCGAGGGAUCGAGGGGUUCGGGGCCCCCACGCCCCUGGCACGACUGUCGGCUCACGAUCCAAGCUAGGCACCAGGGGUUCGCAGCGAAUGCGGCGACCCAUCCGACCAGUUUUGAAACACGGACUAAGGAGUCUAAUGCACGCGCGAGUCAGAGGGUCAAAUGAAACCCGAAGGCGCAAUGAAGGUGAAGGCCGGGACAGCCUCGGCCGAGGCGGGAACCCGGUCCCUAGUACCCCUUCCCAGGGGGAAAGGGUUGGGCGCACUGCCGGCCCGUCUUGCCCGCAGCAUCGGGGAGGUGGAGCAAGAGCGCACGUGAUGGUACCCGAAAGAUGGUGAACUAUGCCUGGGCAGGACGAAGCCAGAGGAAACUCUGGUGGAGGUCCGCAGUGGUCCUCACGUGCAAAUCGGUCAUCUGACCUGGGUAUAGGGGCGAAAGAUUAAUCAAACUAUCUAGUAGCUGGUUCCCUCCGAAGUUUCCCAGGCCUUGGUCUUGGGGCCAAAACAGUCUAUUAAGAGGCCUCACUCACGGGUUGCCUUGCCAGCCACCUUUGGUAAGCAAAACUGGCACUGGGGGAAAAACCUGAGCUGGGCUAUGGCGCUCAGUACUGAUGACCUGUGAGGUGUUGGUCGAUAUUGACAGCAGGACGGUUGCCAAGAAGUCCGAAUCCACUAAGAGCGUGUGACAACUUACUUACGGACUCAACUGGCCCUCCGGGAGCUGGAAGGUCGGACCCAUGUCUGGCCGUCUGGCAGCAGGUAACUCUGUUGAUAUGCCACGACGAGUAGGAGGGCCCCCACGGAGAGCAAUGAAGCCGGGGCAGAGCUGCCGUGGAUGCAAACCUUGGUGUAGUAGCAAAUACUGACAAGGGCGGAUGAUUUGUUCAUCUUCAUCAACUGCUAGGGAAGUGCAACUCUCAGUCCCCUUAUACACAGGCUAAGCUGAAACCUAAAGGAAAUGUCGUUAAAAUAAUGGCACGGCGUACACGGCUGAUUGCUGAUAAGGCAGUGGGAACAUAACCUAAUUGCCUGGGACUUCAAAGCUCAAUACUACAAGCUGAAAUAAAGAUUGCGCUUAUGGCUUAAACAGUGGUGCUGGUGGGCUGACUAUGUGCCCAUUAAGCUACUGCUGGGUGAUUGUGUCCGAUUCUACAUCAAUUCCCUGGGAUUGUUAAGUGAAAUUCAGGGAUGACGGUUAACUGGAUGUGUUUUUGUGGGGUGGGUGUAUCCAGUAAGACGGCCCACACUCGUGGUCGCCAGCCCGAAUGACUGUGAGUAUUUAGAGUGGCAGCAUGGCCUGCUGCCUUAACAAAGGGGCUAUAGGUGUGCCUUAGGGGAGCUGAGUGCAUCUAUUAAGAAGACUCUCUCUCCUGGCCUGCUUGCCCAGUAGGCCGGGUAGUAUCUAGGGCAGCAGCGUGGCCCCCUGCCUUAACAAAAGGGCUAUAGGUGUGCUUUUGAGGAGUUGGGUGUGUCUAUUAAGAAGACUCCCUCUCCUGGUUGACCUGCCCAGUUGCCGAGUAGUAUGUUCAGCACAUCGGAUAUGACUAACAUCCCGUGCUUGCUGGCCGUAGCUUGCUAGGUUCCUUUCUAUGCCGCCCUGCCCAAAACUGGAACUGAAACUGACGGGAGGACAAUUAAGGUGCUGUGCACCAAACCGGAUGUGACCUUACCCUCAGAUUGAUUUCCCCGCGUAAGCACGUUGAGGUCUACUAGGUUCCUUCCUCUUAUGGCCCCUACCCAACGAGGUGAACCGACAAUGACGGGUGGGCUAGCUGGACGUGGUGAAUUCUAGUGAUGAUUAAUCAGUAGCCGUGUGUCAUGAGUCUACAACGUUGAUUGACUAACACGGUUUGCCGCAUGCAAUUGUCACUGGAUGGCGUACGAGACAGGCUCAGAAACUCGGAAUGGACCUGCGGGUAAACCAUAGCCAAAUGCCUCGUCAUCUAAAUAGUGACCCGCAUGAAUAGAUGAACAAGAUUCCCACUGUCUCUACCUACUAUCUAGCAAAACCACAGCCAAGUGAAUGGGCUUGGCAAAAUCAGCGGGGAAAGAAGACCCUGUUGAGCUUGACUCUAGUCUGGCACUGUGAAGAGACAUGAGAGGUGUAGAAUAAAUGGGAGGCUUUGGCUGCCGGUGAAAUACCACUACUCAUCAUUUUUUCACUUGCCCAGUGAGGCGGGGAGGUGAGCCCCAGAAAGGGCUCUCGCUUCCGGAGUCAGUCGCCCGGCACACGUCGGGCGAGACCCGCUCCGGGGACAGUGGCAGGUGGGCAGUUUGACUGGGGCGGUACACCUGUCAAACGGUAAUACAGGUGUCCUAAGGCGAGCUCAGGGAGGACAGAAACCUCCCGUGGAGCAGAAGGGAAAAAGCUUGCUUGAUCUUGAUUUUCAGUGAGUACAGACCGUGAAAGCGGGGCCUCAUGAUGCUUCUGGCUUUUUGGGUUUCAAGCAAGAGGUGUCUGAAAAAUUACCACAGGGAUAACUGGCUUGUGGCGCCCAAGUGUUCAUAGUGACAUCUCUUUUUGAUCCUUUGAUGUCGGCUCUUCCUAUCAUUGUGAAGCAGAAUUCACCAAGCAUUGGAUUGUUCACCCUCUAAUAGGGAACAUGAGCUGGGUUUAGACCGUUGUGAGACAGGUUAGUUAGAAAAGGGAGAAGGGGGAGCCGUGGUGGGGGGGCUUAAGUGUGGGCGGUGCGGGGUCCCGGGGAGAGCCCGGUCCAUUUGCCCACUCAUUGCGGUUUCUUCCAUCCCAGCAGAAGCCCAUCGAAAGGUGAGUGCCGUGCGAGAGCGAAGAAGAGCAGUCGGAUGAGAAAGAGGGGCCGAUGUCCAUCCGAACAAGACGCACAGUACGGCAGGAGAGGCAGGGCAGGAGCCCCGACC
RNAcentral lists this ribosomal RNA (3627 nucleotides) under Arapaima gigas (arapaima). RNAcentral's name for it is "eukaryotic LSU rRNA". It matches the Rfam family "Eukaryotic large subunit ribosomal RNA". The record is from RNAcentral. Lineage: Eukaryota; Metazoa; Chordata; Actinopteri; Osteoglossiformes; Osteoglossidae.